AUCUGGGCGGCGAAAUUCAGGAUGGCUGGCGGGCCCUCGGGCACGUCCGGCCGUUUGAUGUUUUCGUCGCCGUUCGCAGACGUCGCGACCUGUUUGUCGUCGGUCCCUGCUCGGAGGAAUCGCUGUCGAGCUCGUUGUGGGCGCGUUUCGGCGCGUCUAACGGCGAAGACGCGACUCUCUGGCUGACGACGGACAGUAAGCAAUGGUGUCCGGCGCCGUGUUUCGUACUCGGCGUCGGUGCCGGUCAGCGACGAUUUCUUCGGGCCUCUUUCCGACCCGUCUUGAAACACGGACCAAGGAGUCUAACAUGCGCGCGAGUCGCGGGGUAUCGAGCGUACCAUGGUGCGCUCGUUACAUCACGAAACCCGUACACUUGAAGGCGUAAUGAAAGUGAAUGGGGAAGAUGGCGUUCCGAGUUCACGUUCCGUGAUCUAGUAUCAUGGCCGGACGCCCGCAUUCCCGGGGCGUCUCAACGGUUCGUCGCGAACGCGGACGGCUGUCUUUCGGGGCGGUCGUCGGUCUGCGACGGACCGA
Molecule: ribosomal RNA, 534 nt
Filed under: Chusqueaspis patriciae
Lineage: Eukaryota; Metazoa; Arthropoda; Insecta; Hemiptera; Diaspididae
Description: partial large subunit ribosomal RNA
Source: RNAcentral